This 253-nucleotide ribosomal RNA is filed under the name uncultured bacterium. RNAcentral describes it as "partial 16S ribosomal RNA". It matches the Rfam family "Bacterial small subunit ribosomal RNA", at positions 524 to 776 of the family's 1533-position model. The record is from RNAcentral.
UACAGAGGUCCCAAGCGUUGUUCGGAUUUACUGGGCGUAAAGGGUGCGUAGGUGGCGAGGUAAGUUCGAUGUGAAAUCUCCGAGCUCAACUCGGAAACGGCAUUGAAUACUAUCCCGCUUGAGGGUCGGAGGGGAGACUGGAAUUCUCGGUGUAGCAGUGAAAUGCGUAGAUAUCGAGAGGAACACCAGAGGCGAAGGCGAGUCUCUGGACGACUCCUGACACUGAGGCACGAAAGCUGGGGGAGCAAACAGG